This 373-nucleotide ribosomal RNA is filed under the name uncultured organism. RNAcentral's name for it is "partial 16S ribosomal RNA". It matches the Rfam family "Bacterial small subunit ribosomal RNA", at positions 527 to 896 of the family's 1533-position model. The record is from RNAcentral.
GUAGGUGGCAAGCGUUGUCCGGAAUCAUUGGGGCGUAAAGCGCGCGCAGGCGGUUCUUUAAGUCUGAUGUGAAAGCCCACGGGCUCAACCGUGGAGGGUCAUUGGAAGCUGGAGAACUUGAGUACAGAAGAGGAAAGCGGAAUUCCACGUGUAGCGGUGGAAUGCGUAGAGAUGUGGAGGAACACCAGUGGCGAAGGCGGCUUUCUGGUCUGUAACUGACGCUGAGGCGCGAAAGCGUGGGGAGCAAACAGGAUUAGAUACUCUGGUAGUCCACGCCGUAAACGAUGAGUGCUAAGUGUUAGGGGGUUUCCGCCCCUUAGUGCUGCAGCUAACGCAUUAAGCACUCCGCCUGGGGAGUACGGCCGCAAGGCUG